Small nuclear RNA from Meriones unguiculatus (Mongolian gerbil), 108 nucleotides. NCBI's taxonomy places the organism in Eukaryota, Metazoa, Chordata, Mammalia, Rodentia, Muridae. The record is from Ensembl.
GUGCUUGCUUAGGCUCCACAUACAAUAAAAAUUGGAGCGAUACAGAGAAGAUUAGCCUGGCCCCUGUGCAAAGAUGACAUGCAAAUUCAUGAAGCAUUCCAUAUUUUU